GCUUAACACAUGCAAGUCGAGGGGCAGCAUGGUCUUUGCUUGCUAAGGCCGAUGGCGACCGGCGCACGGGUGAGUAACACGUAUCCAACCUGCCGUCUACUCUUGGACAGCCUUCUGAAAGGAAGAUUAAUACAAGAUGGCAUCAUGAGUCCGCAUGUUCACAUGAUUAAAGGUAUUCCGGUAGACGAUGGGGAUGCGUUCCAUUAGAUAGUAGGCGGGGUAACGGCCCACCUAGUCUUCGAUGGAUAGGGGUUCUGAGAGGAAGGUCCCCCACAUUGGAACUGAGACACGGUCCAAACUCCUACGGGAGGCAGCAGUGAGGAAUAUUGGUCAAUGGGCGAGAGCCUGAACCAGCCAAGUAGCGUGAAGGAUGACUGCCCUAUGGGUUGUAAACUUCUUUUAUAAAGGAAUAAAGUCGGGUAUGGAUACCCGUUUGCAUGUACUUUAUGAAUAAGGAUCGGCUAACUCCGUGCCAGCAGCCGCGGUAAUACGGAGGAUCCGAGCGUUAUCCGGAUUUAUUGGGUUUAAAGGGAGCGUAGAUGGAUGUUUAAGUCAGUUGUGAAAGUUUGCGGCUCAACCGUAAAAUUGCAGUUGAUACUGGAUAUCUUGAGUGCAGUUGAGGCAGGCGGAAUUCGUGGUGUAGCGGUGAAAUGCUUAGAUAUCACGAAGAACUCCGAUUGCGAAGGCAGCCUGCUAAGCUGCAACUGACAUUGAGGCUCGAAAGUGUGGGUAUCAAACAGGAUUAGAUACCCUGGUAGUCCACACGGUAAACGAUGAAUACUCGCUGUUUGCGAUAUACAGCAAGCGGCCAAGCGAAAGCGUUAAGUAUUCCACCUGGGGAGUACGCCGGCAACGGUGAAACUCAAAGGAAUUGACGGGGGCCCGCACAAGCGGAGGAACAUGUGGUUUAAUUCGAUGAUACGCGAGGAACCUUACCCGGGCUUAAAUUGCAGAUGAAUUACGGUGAAAGCCGUAAGCCGCAAGGCAUCUGUGAAGGUGCUGCAUGGUUGUCGUCAGCUCGUGCCGUGAGGUGUCGGCUUAAGUGCCAUAACGAGCGCAACCCUUGUUGUCAGUUACUAACAGGUUCCGCUGAGGACUCUGACAAGACUGCCAUCGUAAGAUGUGAGGAAGGUGGGGAUGACGUCAAAUCAGCACGGCCCUUACGUCCGGGGCUACACACGUGUUACAAUGGGGGGUACAGAGGGCCGCUACCACGCGAGUGGAUGCCAAUCCCCAAAACCUCUCUCAGUUCGGACUGGAGUCUGCAACCCGACUCCACGAAGCUGGAUUCGCUAGUAAUCGCGCAUCAGCCACGGCGCGGUGAAUACGUUCCCGGGCCUUGUACACACCGCCCGUCAAGCCAUGGGAGCCGGGGGUACCUGAAGUGCGUAACCGCGAGGAGCGCCCUAGGGUAAAACUGGUGACUGGGGCUAAG
RNAcentral lists this ribosomal RNA (1435 nucleotides) under uncultured organism. RNAcentral's name for it is "16S ribosomal RNA". It matches the Rfam family "Bacterial small subunit ribosomal RNA". The record is from RNAcentral.